RNAcentral lists this ribosomal RNA (1373 nucleotides) under uncultured bacterium. Its description in RNAcentral is "bacterial SSU rRNA". It matches the Rfam family "Bacterial small subunit ribosomal RNA". The record is from RNAcentral.
AGAGUUUGAUCCUGGCUCAGGACGAACGCUGGCGGCGCGCCUAACACAUGCAAGUCGAACGAGCGAGAGAGAGCUUGCUUUCUCAAGCGAGUGGCGAACGGGUGAGUAACGCGUGAGGAACCUGCCUCAAAGAGGGGGACAACAGUUGGAAACGACUGCUAAUACCGCAUAAGCCCACAGCUCGGCAUCGAGCAGAGGGAAAAGGAGCAAUCCGCUUUGAGAUGGCCUCGCGUCCGAUUAGCUAGUUGGUGAGGUAAUGGCCCACCAAGGCGACGAUCGGUAGCCGGACUGAGAGGUUGAACGGCCACAUUGGGACUGAGACACGGCCCAGACUCCUACGGGAGGCAGCAGUGGGGAAUAUUGCACAAUGGGGGAAACCCUGAUGCAGCGACGCCGCGUGGAGGAAGAAGGUCUUCGGAUUGUAAACUCCUGUUGUUGAGGAAGAUAAUGACGGUACUCAACAAGGAAGUGACGGCUAACUACGUGCCAGCAGCCGCGGUAAAACGUAGGUCACAAGCGUUGUCCGGAAUUACUGGGUGUAAAGGGAGCGCAGGCGGGAAGACAAGUUGGAAGUGAAAUCUAUGGGCUCAACCCAUAAACUGCUUUCAAAACUGUUUUUCUUGAGUAGUGCAGAGGUAGGCGGAAUUCCCGGUGUAGCGGUGGAAUGCGUAGAUAUCGGGAGGAACACCAGUGGCGAAGGCGGCCUACUGGGCACCAACUGACGCUGAGGCUCGAAAGUGUGGGUAGCAAACAGGAUUAGAUACCCUGGUAGUCCACACCGUAAACGAUGAUUACUAGGUGUUGGAGGAUUGACCCCUUCAGUGCCGCAGUUAACACAAUAAGUAAUCCACCUGGGGAGUACGACCGCAAGGUUGAAACUCAAAGGAAUUGACGGGGGCCCGCACAAGCAGUGGAGUAUGUGGUUUAAUUCGACGCAACGCGAAGAACCUUACCAAGUCUUGACAUCCCUUGACGAUGCUGGAAACAGUAUUUCUCUUCGGAGCAAGGAGACAGGUGGUGCAUGGUUGUCGUCAGCUCGUGUCGUGAGAUGUUGGGUUAAGUCCCGCAACGAGCGCAACCCUUACUGUCAGUUACUACGCAAGAGGACUCUGGCAGGACUGCCGUUGACAAAACGGAGGAAGGUGGGGAUGACGUCAAAUCAUCAUGCCCUUUAUGACUUGGGCUACACACGUACUACAAUGGCGUUAAACAAAGAGAAGCAAGACCGCGAGGUGGAGCAAAACUCAGAAACAACGUCCCAGUUCGGACUGCAGGCUGCAACUCGCCUGCACGAAGUCGGAAUUGCUAGUAAUCGUGGAUCAGCAUGCCACGGUGAAUACGUUCCCGGGCCCCUUGUACACACCGCCCGUNNC